RNAcentral lists this ribosomal RNA (433 nucleotides) under uncultured bacterium. RNAcentral's name for it is "partial 16S ribosomal RNA". It matches the Rfam family "Bacterial small subunit ribosomal RNA", at positions 29 to 507 of the family's 1533-position model. The record is from RNAcentral.
AGCGAACGCUGGCGGCAGGCCUAACACAUGCAAGUCGAACGAACUCUUCGGAGUUAGUGGCGGACGGGUGAGUAACACGUGGGAACGUGCCUUUUGGUUCGGAAUAACUCAGGGAAACUUGUGCUAAUACCGAAUGUGCCCUUCUGGGGAAAGAUUUAUCGCCAUUAGAGCGGCCCGCGUCUGAUUAGCUAGUUGGUGAGGUAACGGCUCACCAAGGCUACGAUCAGUAGCUGGUCUGAGAGGAUGACCAGCCACACUGGGACUGAGACACGGCCCAGACUACUACGGGAGGCAGCAGUGGGGAAUCUUGCGCAAUGGGCGAAAGCCUGACGCAGCCAUGCCGGGUGAAUGAUGAAGGUCUUAGGAUUGUAAAAUUCUUUCACCGGGGACGAUAAUGACGGUACCCGGAGAAGAAGCCCCGGCUAACUUCGUG